GAGUUUGAUCGUGGCUCAGAACGAACGCUGGCGGCAGGCUUAACACAUGCAAGUCGAACGCCCCGCAAGGGGAGUGGCAGACGGGUGAGUAACACGUGGGAACGUGCCCUAAGGUUUGGAAUAUUCCCGGGAAACUGGGAGCAAUACCAAAUGUGUCCGCAAGGAGAAAGAUUUAUCGCCUUAGGAUCGGCCCGCGUCAGAUUAGGUAGUUGGUGGGGUAAUGGCCUACCAAGCCGACGAUCUGUAGCUGGUCUGAGAGGACGACCAGCCACACUGGGACUGAGACACGGCCCAGACUCCUACGGGAGGCAGCAGUGGGGAAUCUUGGACAAUGGGCGAAGCCUGAUCCAGCCAUGCCGCGUGGAUGAUGAAGGCCCUAGGGUUGUAAAAUCCUUUCGUUGGGGACGAUAAUGACGGUACCCAAGAAGAAGCUCCGGCUAACUUCGUGCCAGCCGCCGCCGUAA
This 464-nucleotide ribosomal RNA is filed under the name uncultured Alphaproteobacteria bacterium. RNAcentral's name for it is "bacterial SSU rRNA". It matches the Rfam family "Bacterial small subunit ribosomal RNA", at positions 9 to 523 of the family's 1533-position model. The record is from RNAcentral. Lineage: Bacteria; Pseudomonadati; Pseudomonadota; Alphaproteobacteria.